RNAcentral lists this ribosomal RNA (459 nucleotides) under uncultured bacterium. RNAcentral describes it as "partial 16S ribosomal RNA". It matches the Rfam family "Bacterial small subunit ribosomal RNA", at positions 338 to 795 of the family's 1533-position model. The record is from RNAcentral.
CCUACGGGAGGCAGCAGUGAGGAAUAUUGGUCAAUGGGCGCUAGCCUGAACCAGCCAAGUAGCGUGAAGGAUGAAUGCCCUACGGGUCGUAAACCUCUUUUAUAUGGGAGUAAAGUGCAGUAUGUAUACUGCUUUGCAUGUUCCUUAUGAAUAAGGCACGGCGAACUCCGUGCCAGCAGCCGAGGGAAUACGGAGGAUCCGAACCUUAUCCGGAUUUAUUGGGUUUAAAGGGUGCGUAGGCGGGCUUUUAAGUCAGCGGUAAAAAUUCGGGGCUCAACCCCGUCCGGCCGUUGAAACUGGGGGCCUUGAGUGGGCGAGAAGAAGGCGGAAUGCGUGGUGUAGCGGUGAAAUGCAUAGAUAUCACGCAGAACCCCGAUUGCGAAGGCAGCCUUCCGGCGCCCUACUGACGCUGAGGCACGAAAGUGCGGGGAUCGAACAGGAUUAGAUACCCGAGUAGUC